RNAcentral lists this long non-coding RNA (807 nucleotides) under Mytilus galloprovincialis (Mediterranean mussel). Lineage: Eukaryota; Metazoa; Mollusca; Bivalvia; Mytilida; Mytilidae. The record is from RNAcentral.
UUGCAUUGAAAAUAAACAAAUUAAAACAUUAAAACAUUUAUCUUUUCAGAAUAAAGAGGGUGCUGUAGAUCACUUCUACCAGUGUUUUAUAUACACUGGUAUGAAUAGAAUUUGUUCACUGUCUUUCUCGGAAAAUCAGAAGGACAGAAUAAAGUUGGACAAAUGCUACAAAUUUAGAGUUUAUCCCAGGGGAGUAGGCAACUUUCGAUUGGAUGGUAAUGCAAAGGUAUUUAUAUUUACAUCUGAAUUUAUUAUAAUAAUACCAUAUAUUACUGUUUUAUCAUUUAGUUUUUUAAUUUAUGAUAGGUUGAUUCAAUGCUUUUUGCACAUGUGUAACGACCGGAAGAAAACAAGCCUUAUUUUCACACACGAUCUCAUAAAUACAUAUCAGCCUAAUGACGUCAUUACAUUGGCUGAUAUGGCAGGGUGUUAAUUCUUUAAUUUAGUAAGUAUAUGAUAAAGAGAUGAAUACGGGCCGAUAUGGGAAAAUACAUAUAUUUAUCUCUAUAUAUAUAUAUAUAUAUACCAUAAACAUAAAAAUGAAAGGAAGGUUUUAUGAACAAUAUGAAUGAUAUGAUUCUAUCCACCAAGCAGUGUUCCCCAUCUCCAUUCUCAAUUUUAUUGCAUAAUUAUUAUUAUUAUAAUUUUAGAUUUUUUACAUAAGAGAGUGUGAUACUGGAAUUAAUUCUAUUCAAAUGGACUUGGCUUUAAAUCCAGAACCUUUAUCAGUUUCAACAGCACUGAAACAACCAAACGGAGAACUGAUAAGCAUAGUAGGCGUAGUUAAUACGGUAAGUUCUAAGGUAA